GAGAACACUGUAUAAUUUUGUAAAAAUUAUAAUUUAAUGCACUGCUUGCAAAGGAAUAUCUAUAAAACAAAAUCUUAGUAGGAAAAUAUUAACUUCUGAAUUGUUGCUAAUACUCUUAAAUAUGUUUGCUUUUUAUGACCAUUAGUAGUAUUUAUAAAUGAAAAAAUUAAUGACGAUAACCUAGAAGUUAAAAAUAAACGAUUUGGAUCAUUGCUUUUAUCAAGCUACCCAAAAGCAACAAAUAUAUAUUAUUAUAAAAUGGCUUAUAACUAUAUAGUUUUACAACACAUAAAAUUAUUUUUGUACUAGUAUAUUUUAGUGGCAUCUUAGUUUAAUUAAAAGAUUUUCACUGACUCUAAUUAUCUUGAAAUUGGUAAUGUUAAAAACAAUCAAUGUUUGAUUGAUUCAUGCAAAAAUUAACUCCUAUACAUUACGUAUAAUUUCAUGUUCUAAUUAAUUUAUCAAUUGAGCAUAGAAAAAGUCAAAACUGAACUAGCUUAGGAAGCGCACAAGGCUUAUUUUUGUCUGAAUUAUAAUAUUCCCGUAGCGGCCAUUACUGAUCAUAAUUUUAAUUAGGUACUGAAAUAUACUAAAUUUUGUGAAGUUUAUGCUGAUUGGAAGCAUCGAGAUGUCUGAACGAUGAUUUUAACAACCUCGACAGCGAACAAUCAGCAAAUUCUUCUGUCUUUAAUACUAUAUAGCACCGUUGCAUACAUAAAUAAAUAUUCUUGGACAUGUCGAAAGAAGUGUUUUUAUAUUUUAUUUUAAUUCUACUUCAUGAUUCCCUACACUUGUUUCUAUUUCCAACAUUCCUAUAGUGUAAAGUUGUAGUCACAUGUCAAACGUAUUUCAGGAAACGUAUUUCAUGUCAAACGUAUUUCACGAAGUGUCAUAGUUAAUAAUUCAGUACAGUUUCUUCUGCGCAUGCGUACAUUGGGGUCUACAUCUUGUGAUGCAAACAGUACUGAUUUGGUUCAAAAUUUUCUUCCAGAGCCUAUAAUCGUGUUAUACCAAGCUUGAUAAUAUAUUUUGCUUUAGAGAAGGAAAAUGUUUAUAAGUUGUUACCAUAUGUCCAGGUUACGAUUUUGUUUAUAAAAAUCGCAAUUCGGGUUCCCAUGGAGGGGUUGGAGUACACAUUAGGAACACAACUCCAUGACUCCACCAUCCAGACUACGAAGUUCUUUGGGUCGACAUUCAUCCAAAUAGACUCCCCCUCGGAUUUUCCUGUUGGGUACUUGAUGCUGUU
This is a non-coding RNA of Paramuricea clavata, 1246 nucleotides long. NCBI's taxonomy places the organism in Eukaryota, Metazoa, Cnidaria, Anthozoa, Malacalcyonacea, Plexauridae. The record is from the annotation of a GenBank genome assembly.